GCAUCUAUGGUAAAGCGGUAGUGGGUCUGAUUUGCGCUUGGGAGAUCAAGGGUUCAAAUCCUGAUGGACGCA
Molecule: non-coding RNA, 72 nt
Organism: Dryococelus australis
Lineage: Eukaryota; Metazoa; Arthropoda; Insecta; Phasmatodea; Phasmatidae
Source: the annotation of a GenBank genome assembly